Long non-coding RNA from Taeniopygia guttata (zebra finch), 4006 nucleotides. Lineage: Eukaryota; Metazoa; Chordata; Aves; Passeriformes; Estrildidae. The record is from Ensembl.
CUGACAGUGAAAUGCCUGUGAAUUUAGUUUUACCUUCUGGAAGGUAGUUAGAUUUUCUUCAGCACCCAGUAUACAGAUUGUGGAAGCUAAAAUAUAAAAGGUACAACAUUUACCCAUUUGAAUUUUUACUUCCAGUGUAAUGAAGUUAAUGGUAAAAAGGAAUAAUUUCUCAAAAGGUCUCUGCUGACUUCUGCAAGCACAUGAAGUAUCAAAAGCAGAAGAGUAUCUUUGUUCAUAGCUGUUCCUCUCUCUAACCAAGAAGAACAAAAAGGGGUUUUUUGGGUUUUUUUUUAAUUACAACUUGAAAUCAGAAUACACUCUUCCAGGCUGUGAUAAAUGUUUGCCCUCACUUGCCACUUGCACAGAACUGAUGAAGUUCCCCAGGGCUUUGAAUCUACCAGUCUGUUAAGCCUAAAAUACAUCUGUAAGUACUUUCAGUUUUUUUAAUAAUUUCAACCAACAAACCCUUCAUGCAGGAGACCUUCAGUCAUGACUUGCUAUAAAAUGUUAUUUUGCUUUAUAUUGGAGAAAAAAAAGUUAACAUGGGCUGAGACACUGUUAAAUUUCUGGACAGCUCAUGGCCACUGUUCUAAUACUGUUCCUGAAUUUAGGUAAUGUUUUGUAAAUUACACAUUGGGCAACAAAGAAGUUACAUUCCUACAAUAAAUACUCAUAGAAGUUUGAUCUUUUACCCAUUCUGAGACACAAAAUAAGCUGCAGGAAAAAUGCAGAUUUUUUUUUUUUUUCCUAAGGACUAAGUGCAGUAAACACAUACUGAGUUCUACUUUCCAGUACGCUUUUGAGCCCCGAAUCUCUUUAGAUUUAUCUUAAUUAAAUCCAACAUUAAAUAAAGCCCAUUCGUUUAUUUUUCUGGUGCAUGGCAUGAAGAAAAGUAAUAGAAGAUGAAAUUAGGUGCAUUGCAAGGCUGAAGCUUAAUUGCAGAUUCAGGGGGACCUGAUGAGCAGAGUAUCAGCAAGGCUGAGCAGCUAUCUCUUCAUGAUAGGACAUCACUGUGCCCUUCUCUGAAUGAGGCCCCAUUAGUGUUAAGAGUGAAAAUUAACUGUUCCAUGAAGUUUUCAUGUGCAAGUUUUAGAAAGCCUUCCCCAAGUGUACUGUUUCUGAAAUAACAUCUGGGUCUAUAUGUGCAACUCAGAGGUUAUGUAAGCAAAUUAAUGUUAUGCCACAGUGACCAUGGUAACAUUUAGCAGAGGGAAACCCCGUAAAUAGCAGAAGUAAAAAAUUACUUGCAAUAACUCAUUGAACAAAUCAGUAGAAAAUCGGGUUAUUUUCACUUGGUUUGUUCUCUCAGCUUUCAUAUGCCUCAUAAUCGCUGUAUGUUUUAAUUGUCCUCCCCUCAUACACAAACCUUCCCAUCUCCAAAUAUCAAGAAAGGGGGGCAAUCCUGUCACUUAAUGAUUUACUGUUGCUGGUGUAGCCUUUCCAACACAGGCAUCUUAGUAUUCCUGCCACUUUAAUAUCUUUGUGAGGUCCAGAAUACCUAUAAAAAGCUGAUUUUCAGUGGUGAAGGAGUUUCCGAUUUCUUUAUGAAGACAGUAGAGUUAUCUUUGUGUGUGUUGCAGUGGCAGAGUAAAUGCUGUAAAACCAGGCUUGAAAUCAAUUCAGAUCCUGUCCUGUUUCAGCUGUCAGAUGAUGAACCUGUCGAGUGGCUCAGCCUGGUCCCUCUGGAUGGAGUAUUAGGAAUAUGCACACUCCAGCAAAGUACAUGUAAGAGCAAUGCUUUGUUGAUUCAGUUAAAUGAAAUCCCCCAAACACCGAAAUUAUACAUACCAAAAUAAAACCCACGCAAAAGCAUUAAAAAAAAAGCCAAAACAGUCCUAUUACUUGGGAGGCUGCAGGGGGCUGCAGAAGCCAUCAGUAGCUGAAAGGAGUCAAUAGGGCUAGCUAAAGCCAGCUGAAGUGACUGAACCUAGUGAGGCUGGGCAUUCACCCGGGCUCUGAAGAUCUGGGCUGCACACAUGCAGGGAGGAGGCAGGAGUGAAGGUUGUCUGCAAACAGGACUUGUCCCCCACAGGGUUUGGUUUCUGCCUCUGCUCGGCAUGGUCCUGUGGUGUAUCUUAGCAAUGCCUGAGGUUUUGAUGGUGCCUGUUGAUGCUGAGAGCAGGGCUACUGCCCAGGGCAGAGGUGUGGGGAGCAGCAGCCCUGGGAGCCCUGGCAGUGCUGCUCAAGGGUUUCCUCACCCAGGGGAAUUCCCAGUCAAGCUGUGCACACAGCUCUGCAAAAUGCUUCCUGCAACACUCCUGCUGACCCAAGGGGUCAGCCCUGGAUUUCUCCAUAUAGAGACCCAAGGAUCAGUGUCUUUUUAGCAUGUGUCACAACAGAAUGUCAGGGAGUGUGGUUUUGCUGCCAGCCCCUUGUAGACCCUUCUUCAAGUCUCAUGCAAAUAUAUUUUCUGAGUUCUUGCUUUCCACACAUCUCUGAGGUCUUGGCCUGCCACUUUGCAAAGUUCCAAAACCAGAGCAAGUUUCAAGAUGCUUCCCCAGCAGCUUUACUAAAAACCCAAAACAUGGCUCUGGGUUUCUGUGUUCUCACACUGUUGAGGAAAAAAUAUGCUGUUGGAGGCAGUCUGGGUUUGAUGACAGCACAAUUCUUCCUCUCUGUGAGCCUUUGCUCGUUCUCUUCCUUUUUUUCAAGAUCGUGCUUCAACCUUCUUGUGAAACCCCUGUGGUUUAUCAGAGGAGUGCAGUGGCAGCAGCAGAACUUUAGCACUGUAAAUAUGAGUACAGGGGCUCACAGAACACUUUCAGUGUUUUGGAACUAAUGAAAUGCCUUUCCCCAGGAUUGUAUCCUAAAAUCUGGCCAAAGAAUGGACAAAAUCUGGCCAAAGAGUGGAUAUGCCUCUGCAUAGUCAUCCCAGGUUGCUGCAGAUUGAACAAACUUGUAUUACAACAAUGCACUACUACCUAGACCUCUGGGGGGGUCUUUCACAUUGUUGCAGUGUCAGAUACAGUGAUGGUAACAGUGGCAAGAGCUUUGGUGAAAGGCAGCAUUGUGAUCUGACAGCAAAACCUGUCCUAAGGUAUUCAUUAAAUUGUUCCAGGCGCUGGGACAGCCUAUGAUUAUGUUGAACAGGGGAGCAAAUUGUACGCUCUGCUUUCCUGGUAUGCACUAACUUAAUCUGAAAGUCUGCCUGGGAAGGUUAAACACAGACAGCUUUGUUUAGGGGAACUUCAAACUGGCAGAGUCCAUCGCCCCAGAGGGUCACCUGUGGGGGACUGCGUGUGCCAAACAUCUGUGCUGCUGCAGGAAUGUUUUCUGUGGGUGCAGCUUGCAGCUGAGCUUGUCCAAGGGGUUCCCUCAGAUGUCAGAACAUUUGGAUGUUCCCAGCAGAUGCAAUGCUAUCUGUAGCUCAGGCUCUCUCUGUACUUCUGGAAAGUGGUGCCCAAAACAGAAGCUGGAGUUCCCCAGGAAGCAGCUGCGUGGGGAACUCUGGGCUCCUCCCGCAGGAGAAACCACGCUCCAGGAAGUGUUUAGUGUGGGGUUUUGACACGGAAAGGGCCGGUUCUCGCAACAAUCAUGAGUCUUGUGGGAGUUCUAGACCUUACACAGAAAUUACCCACCAGGGUAUUCAUUAACUCUGCCAGGAAGAGGUGCUGGUAGAGUCAGGUUUGAGAACAACCCUUGUGGUCACAUAAUGCUGAGUGGGACACCAGCAUGCAGGGGCUCCUGAUGGCUGAAAGAGUGAGCCAAGUGCUGGGAACAGGACAGAGCAAAGGGCCCACAGGGCCAUGCUCAGGCUGCAGAGCUGAAUGCCAUAGUGCCUGGGUUGUCGCUUCCACAAGACACACUGCUUUUGACCACUUUUUAUGACUUGGCUAAAUGGACAAAUUUUAUUCCUUUACUGGCAGUCUUUUGGGGUUUUUUUUUUGUUUUGUUUUGUUUUCUUUUUUUUUCCUGCAGCUUGUAAAGAGUAUUGUUUGAAAAAAAAAAUCUUAAUAUAAAAAUAAAUCUAUAGUACUUGCAUUAAAAAAAAAAGAAAAAAAAAAAA